This 732-nucleotide long non-coding RNA is filed under the name Homo sapiens (human). RNAcentral's name for it is "chromosome 8 putative open reading frame 44". Lineage: Eukaryota; Metazoa; Chordata; Mammalia; Primates; Hominidae. The record is from RNAcentral.
GAAAGCUGCUUGUCCAGGAGAUAGCAAAAUGCUGACAAAUGAGAAACAGACCUGCAUAGCCAUCACACCCUCUAGAACCAAGGGGUAGUGUUUUAAGAUAGAGGACUGGGUGAGUAUCAGAAAGCUGUGCUUUGAAAACCUGACUGCUUUUAAGUAUUUCCUGUUUUGUUCUCAUUUUGUAGGUAUUAGAAUUAUUUCUGAAUUAUCAGUCUCUCAUUUGUGCUUUGGAGAAGCAGAAAAGGCAAAAGGGGUCUUUGGCCAUCUUCUGCUGGAGCUUCCAGGGAGGAUGUGUCUCCAAGAGACCAGAUGUACCGAGUUUGAAAUCCCAGAAGCCCAAGAGGAAAAGAAUCACAGGGAGGAAAAGACUGUCCAAAGGCUUCUGGAGUCUUCUGUUCUCUAACCUUGGAAGGUUUUGAACAAUAUUUCUCAGAGGAUAGCCUUUCACUUAUUCAUCUGUCCAGCAUGACUCAUCCCCGGGAGUGUUGAUGCUUUGUUUACAACGAAUGUCUUACAAAUGCUGACUGAACACUAGCAUACCUGCAUGAACAACAGUGUCUGUCUUCACCAAGAAGGACGACUUUGAUUGGCUGUAAUUGGCCACUGUUGCUAAUGGAGUAGAGAGAGUCUUGCUACAUGCGGGAACUAGAAUUACAUCACUGCGUUUUUUGGCUUUGUUUCUUCAAUGGGUUGUAGUGUAUGAAUAUUAUUACAAAAUAAAAUGAUUUAAAAAUA